CUCGGUUCGGCUGCGCGCGCAGACCCUGCGCUUGGCAGUGGCUGCUCUGGGCUCCUUGUCACCAGGACAACCGGCCCCGCCGCAGCGCGUUUGCCAUGGUUUUCUCAAACAGUGAUGAAGCCCCCAUUAACAAAAAGUUACCCAAAGAACUUCUGUUAAGAAUAUUUUCCUUCUUGGAUAUUGUCACUUUGUGCCGAUGUGCGCAAGUUUCCAAGGCAUGGAAUGUCUUGGCUCUGGAUGGAAGUAACUGGCAAAGAAUAGAUCUUUUUAACUUUCAGACAGAUAUAGAGGGUCGUGUGGUGGAAAAUAUUUCCAAAAGGUGUGGUGGAUUCCUGAGACAGCUUAGUUUGAGAGGAUGUCUUGGUGUUGGAGACUCCGCUUUGAAGACAUUUGCACAGAACUGUAGAAACAUUGAACAUUUAAAUCUAAACGGAUGUACAAAAAUUACUGACAGCACGUGUUAUAGCCUUAGCAAAUUCUGUACCAAGCUGAAACAUCUGGAUCUGACAUCCUGUGUAUCUAUUACAAACAGCUCUUUGAAAGGUUUAAGUGAGGGUUGCAGAAAUCUGGAACAUUUGAAUCUUUCCUGGUGUGAUCAGAUUACGAAGGAUGGUAUUGAAGCACUGGUGAAAGGGUGCAGUGGACUAAAAGCACUAUUUCUUAGAGGUUGCACACAGUUGGAAGAUGAAGCACUGAAACACAUUCAAAAUCACUGUCGUGAACUUGUAAUCCUGAACUUGCAGUCAUGCACACAAAUUUCAGAUGAAGGCAUUGUAAAAAUUUGUAGAGGAUGCCACAGACUUCAGUCACUGUGUGUUUCUGGUUGUAGCAACCUUACAGAUGCUUCUCUCACAGCACUUGGUCUAAACUGUCCGAGAUUGAAGAUUUUGGAAGCUGCAAGGUGUUCCCAUCUGACAGAUGCAGGUUUUACACUUUUAGCACGGAAUUGCCACGAACUGGAAAAGAUGGACUUAGAAGAGUGCAUUCUGAUAACAGAUAACACAUUGAUACAACUUUCUGUUCACUGUCCUAAACUGCAAGCAUUGAGCUUAUCUCACUGUGAACUGAUCACAGAUGAUGGGAUUCUGCAUCUGAGCAACAGUACCUGUGGUCAUGAAAGGCUCCAGGUCCUAGAGUUAGACAAUUGUCUUCUUAUCACCGAUGUGACCCUGGAGCACCUAGAGAACUGCCACAGUUUGGAGAGAAUUGAGUUAUAUGACUGUCAGCAAGUCACACGAGCAGGAAUCAAAAGAAUAAGAGCUCAUUUACCUGAUGUGAAAGUUCAUGCCUACUUUGCUCCAGUCACCCCUCCUCCUUCUGUAGGAGGUAGUCGACAGCGACUCUGCAGGUGCUGCAUUAUUCUUUGACAGUAGGAGCAUCAGCAGAAGAAGAAAGAUUCCUUUAAUUAUGGAAACAAAAUCAGACUGCAAGUGGCUUGCAGAGUGUCAGUUUCUUAACAGCCCUAGGAGUGAUGUCACAGUCAUCCAAUUUUGUGCUGGUACUGACUCAAGAAAGGUGUUUUUGCAGAGGAGUGGAAGAGAAUGCAGCAGUGUGGAGGAAGGAGAUACGGUCACAUGGAGGAUCUUACUUGAAUACUGAGUGUCUGCACAUGUGCAGAGAGUAGGGCAUGGUAACUCAAAGACCCAGAAACUUCCAGAACAGAGUGGUAGUUACCAGACAUUCUCAGUUGCUGUUCUGAGGCUGUAUAGGAAGUUUUCACUGUGGGCUACUCACUUAGCAGUCAUAUUCUAGUCACCCUCAGAGAGCUGAGCCAACCAGAGAGCAGUGGAUGGAGUGGUUAUAAACAGAGGUGUUAAAAGUAGUCCCAUGGACUCAACAGGUGAUUAUUUCAUGGUUCUGUGUCAAUCUGCUGUGAGGGCUGGGUCCCAAUCCCUGUACCAUCUUGGACACAGGCUGCAGAUUUCUGUUUCCCCACAACUGAGAGCACCUGUCAGCUAUUAACCCAAGGUUUAGAAUGCUGCUAGCUGUGGAGGCCCACAUUGUUUGCUGACAGGGUUCUAAAGUGUUUGAAAGGACUGAAAUGCUGCCAUUUCUCAGGCUCUGAAGAGUCCAGAUGACAUACUGUGGUCACACUACAAAGAGCAAGAAAGCACCUGUUUGAAGAUCAGAGGGGAAUGCGUUUUGAUAGGUGCACUAAUGUACAGAAAACGUCGUAUUAAAACCUUGUAUUUGAAUGUUUCUAACAGAAAUAAAAGGGGGAAGUCUGUAUAAGGAACACCAGCAGAUUUACUGUUUAAUAGCUUUUAUUUAAAAGUUAUUCACAGCAUUCCAAAUACUAUUUACCAUGUUUUAUGCUGUUUACAAGUGUUUUGUGUGCAUUAAAUGUUUGUUUUACUAAGAAAAUGUAUGGUACUCACUCUCUGAAGCUGACUGGGAACUAUUAGCAUCCAUUUAUCAAGGUUUACAUAUAAUAGCCCUGAAGUUUAACUGUCAUGUGUUUCUGAAAAGUCCUUACAAGACAGAACUCUAGCCUGUGCUUCAGCAAAGAGUUAAGCUGAGGUUCAGUAUAGUUACACACAAUAUUGCAUGAGCAGCCCAUGUACCCCAUUACAUAAACAAGUCAAAAACUGAAGUGUACUAUGAACUGAAAAUUAUUCUAAUUUUGUAUUUCAAUUAACUUUUGUUUAAAAGAAUUAAGCUCUGUACAGUACAAGCCUUACACUUGCAAAACUUAACAUUCAGCAUAUUAUAAACUCCACAUUUGCAAAGAUUAGGAAGUUUGAGAAGUAUGGCUCAUAACAGAGCCCUUUAAUCACUGAAAGCCUUCAGCCUGUAGUUCUACAGGACCUCCCUUGAGACAGAGAAGACAUGAAACGCAGGAUUAAAAACAACAACAAAUCUCCUGGGCUUAAAGAGUCUUGACUACAAGAGAAGAAAGUAGUGAAGACCUAAUGAAAUCAUUAUGAAAAGGGCUAGGUCCAUUUUUGCCAAAUGUAAGGGAAGUUCUAUCUUUCUCUAGAGACUAAGCUCUGGCUUUCCAGCACUUAAGAGGGAUGCAAACUGGAGAUCUCCUUCCCACAGGACGACACCUGCCUGACAACUAGCAGCAGCAACAAUAUGCACUUAGCAGGAGGCCACAUCCAAAGAGAGAUUCACUGAGCACGGGGAGAAGAACUCCCUGGGCAUUACCAUACUCUAAAAUACCUAAUUUAGUCAGAAAGGAAAAAGAGGUUCAAAAACGUAAACACUGGAAGUCGAGCCUUGCCAUCUGAAAGAGCUGCCUCCACCUAAUUAGAAGUGUUAACAUGCUUUAUAGGGAGAGACACAUGUUGAGCACUGAUUUUUUUUUGUUUCCCCUGUAUACAUCUGCUGAUGGACAUCCUGCCCAGCAGCAGAAGAAUGUCUGGGUUGACAAUGGAUACUGCAGAAGAAAUGCAACAGCUUCAACUAAGGAACUAGGUAUUCUGGAUUGCCAAUAUUUUACUAUAAACUUUAGGUAAUUCCAGACAACCCAGUGUUUACUACAGCAUCAGGUAAAACAAAAUUCUCCAAAGAAUUCAUCCCACUGUUUACAGUGCUCGAUUAUAGCGCCUCAGUUGUGUGGGGCAUUUCAUAAACAAAGAAUGAACAGGUCCCUUGCCUUGAGAAAUGUACAAGCAGAAUUUUGAAUAGCACACAAAGGGAUGACAAAGUGGGGAGGGAAAUACUGAUGGACAAAAGUCAGCUAAUUGUCACUUAAGUGCUUUAGGGGAAGAGGUGUCAAGGAAAUACAAACAAAACUUGCUUGUUCAGUGAAUUAAGUCAAAUAAUUGACUUUCACAGGUGGACAUUAAUAUAUGACCAAAUUUACCAACACGUAGAUGCAGGAUCAUGACUUGCCCAAACAAAUAAGUUGCUAAGAUCUAUCUUAGAAAUAAAGAUAUUGGAAAAUAUUUAUCGUUCACCAUAAGUGUCAGUUUAAACACCUGGAAGGUUAAAACUUGAUAGGGAGAGUGUAAAAUAUACAUAUUUGCUUCUUUGAAGCAGACAGAUACAGGAAUAAAUAGAGGGUCCACAUGCUGUGAGAAAAAGUAGUGCUCAAUAACAUUAAGCCUUGCUGUAUCUGAGAGAGCAUAAGGAGAACAAGAUGCGGAGAGCCAGAGGAAACAAAGUAAUAUUACUACAAACAACCUCUCUGCAACAAUACAUGGGGCUUUAAAAGUACAGAUGUAUAUGGAAACUUACAUUAAAAACGCAGGUGGAAAUAUGGGACAAAACAUAUAUGCUGUAUCUAAAUUGCUAUUAUCUUUACUUUCACUGAUUACAUAUAUAUAAAGAAAGCAAAUAGCUUUUAAAAAACAUCUAGCUAUUUCAAUAAAGGAAAUGCAGGUAUAAACUGAAAGAUUUUUUUUUUUUUAAAUAUUAAAGAGUCACGCAGUCCCUCUGCAACAAUUUGUCUUAAGUGUUAGAUUUAGGAAGCAUUCCUCACUGAAACAGAGUAAUUGGUGUAAACAAGAGUGAAUGAAAUUAAGCCAAGGCAGUCAAAAUGUUUUUAUUUUUGAUCAUGGAAGUUUCUCCUAUAUCUAACACUGCACAAGGUAUCUUGCACAAUGAAAAGGUAAGCAGAAGUCCCUUACAGUGCCUC
RNA transcript from Trachemys scripta elegans, 4585 nucleotides. It is a transcript of the gene named F-box and leucine rich repeat protein 2, with no coding region annotated. The record is from RefSeq and is a predicted model, not a curated record. Lineage: Eukaryota; Metazoa; Chordata; Testudines; Emydidae. The transcript is spliced from 16 exons.